RNAcentral lists this ribosomal RNA (253 nucleotides) under uncultured bacterium. Its description in RNAcentral is "partial 16S ribosomal RNA". It matches the Rfam family "Bacterial small subunit ribosomal RNA", at positions 524 to 776 of the family's 1533-position model. The record is from RNAcentral.
UACGUAGGGUGCGAGCGUUGUCCGGAAUUAUUGGGCGUAAAGGGCUCGUAGGCGGUCUGUCACGUCGGGAGUGAAAACUCGGGGCUUAACCCCGAGCCUGCUUCCGAUACGGGCAGACUAGAGGUAUGCAGGGGAGAACGGAAUUCCUGGUGUAGCGGUGAAAUGCGCAGAUAUCAGGAGGAACACCGGUGGCGAAGGCGGGUCUCUGGGCAGUAGCUGACGCUGAGGAGCGAAAGCGUGGGGAGCGAACAGG